This 3735-nucleotide long non-coding RNA is filed under the name Homo sapiens (human). RNAcentral's name for it is "non-protein coding lnc-GADD45A-9:3". The record is from RNAcentral. Lineage: Eukaryota; Metazoa; Chordata; Mammalia; Primates; Hominidae.
ACUUGUUUGUAUACAACCACGCCCGGCAGGAUGACCACCAGAUGACCGGCCGCAGCAAUGCCUCCACUCAGUCCCAGUUGGGCAAAGUUUCACUCCACUGCGGCGACGUGAACAAGAAUCACGGCUUCCUUAUCAAUAUUUCCAAUCCAUGGUUGGGUGCGGAACCUGCGGAUACAGAGGACUGACUAUAAUAUCAAGAGAUCAUAAGGCUGUCGGAAUGGACUCUUUGUGGCAAUAAGAUACCAUAUUAUAAACAGGACCCAAGGUCAUGCCAGGAGGCUCGUGUGGUCCCUGUUUGUCAUCCAGUCAAUACGGCCAUCAGCUUCUGGCCCCAGACACCUUUCCUCUGCACUGUGGCACAGAGGAGCAGACUGCUUUGGAGGGCAGCUUCCUGGGAGCUCCAGGGACCCUGGCCAGGCGGCCACUGCCACUGACUUCCUCGGCUCACUGAGCCCGUGCCUGCAGCUCUCGUGUUUCCUCUGUGCUGCAGUGGACGCUUAUCUUCCCCCGAUGGCACAUUUCUUUGUCACAGACAGGACCCUCACUGGCAGUCGGAGGACAUCAAGCCCUAGUACAGGAAGGGACAUUUUCACACUAAUCUGUGCCAGCUGGAGCAGUCCUGCCAUCUGAACAUCAUAUUUUGGAACCCUGAGAAGCUAGGAUGCAGUUAACAGCUAGAUGUCAAUUCCCUGCAGGCAGAGACCAGUUCUCUGCUGCCAUGUCUUUAAGGCCUGAUGCACCAUAGAUUAAUUCAAAUCCAGUGUCUACCACUCACUCGGCUUAAUGUAAGACAAGAUGAAGACUCCAGACUUCAGAACUUCAGUGUCCAGGGAAGGGGCUGAAAUACCAGACUGCGAUGUACCAUCUCUUGGUUGCUAUGACUGAGGCCAUUAAAAUGGCAGGCAUUAAAAGACUGCACCUCAGUACCCAGCUACAAAGCCUCAAGGUCACUGCAUUCCACAGCUUCCCGUCGCCUUUCAUUCCUGGCCUCAGAGCUUCAAUAUCCUGGCGAGAUCCCCUCGCAUUAUAUUUCAUGAGGCUUAAAUGCAAGCUCUCCCACAGCAAGCCCGAGAGUAUAAUGGGGGUUUUAAUACAUUCCUUUUACCUAAGGCUGGGAUCCAUUUCAAAAAGUUACCCAAUAGGUUUCCUUUCAGGUGAGCUCAUUGCUCUGACAUUCCAAAAUGACAUUAAAAAAUAAAUCCUCUGAUGACUAUAUUAAUACAGUACCUGGGACACUGAGAGUUAUGCCGGAAAACGUCUUAGAUGUCUAUAAAUAAAUCUUAGAAAAAAAACCCAGCAGGAGGAAUGUGAGGAGCUAAUGGAAUUCAAAAGGCCUCAUUGCUACCCCCUUAGAGUUGAAAUCCACUCCGGGCCGACUGUCGCAGCAGAUAUAAAAAGCCAGCCACAGGCUGAAGCUGUAUUAGAAAAUACUGAGGCAAUAGAAUAUUAAUCUUUUUCUCCAAAGAAAAGCCACGGACUAUGCUCCUUGGAAGAUGGCUUCCUUUGCUAUAAGAAGUACACUAAUUAAACAUGUACAAGGUUAAAUCCUGGCAACAUGCAGCUGCUUCAGGGAUCAGUCCUUCUUGACUUCAGGUGGGAGGCAUUCCCCGCAGAGGCAAGAUAUACAUGAGGCAGUGUGGGGAGAAUGACGUCAGCCUCCCAAACUGGCACAAGGACCUGUGUGUGGCCUUAGGAUCAAAAGCGUCCUUCUUUCUGCUUUCCUAAAAACAUAUCUUGAAAUUGCCUUUUAUGCCUCAACCCAUCUUCCUUGAGAUGCCGUUUCUCCAAGGAAGUGCUCUGUGCCCUCUCAGCCUUGCAGGUCUGGCUGUGUCAAGUGCCACUGUGCACUACUGAGGGACUGGAGGAACUGAAAAGCAUUUUGGUCAUAGGAGGGAAUAGCCACGGGAGAAGUCAGGCCUCAGACACUCUUGUUUGAAUAUGGAUGUUUGAGCCUUAGCUGGUAGAAUAAAACACUCUUUCAGAGUUUGAAAUAGUUUUACUGCAAAUGGAGUGGAAAGCGAAGUUUCCAAGGUUUUAUAAACAACCUGAUAUAAACACAGCAGUGUUGUAGGUCAAAGCAGAUGUGGUGAACAGAACUUACAAAGACAUAUAUGUGUAUCAGUUUAUUUUUUCCACGUUCAUUUCAACCUCAGCAGAGCUAGCAACACUAACACUCCCCAGUGGCAGAGCCAACAACAGGGCUCUAGAGGCUCCAAACUUGGGGUCCUCUUGGGUGUCCUUGGAUAGAAUUCAAGGGGUCCAUAAACUAGAAUAGAAAAAAUUAUAUAUUUUCACUAGUCUCUAGCUGAAAGAUAAUGUUUACUUCAAUUAUGGAUGUAGAAAAAUCCCUAUAGUGUUAGUACUACUGUGAUUUUCUCAAUAGAAAUCAUGAUAUUUUCACAUCAAUUACAGUUGUAGAUAUAAAUCUGUAAUAUACCUGUAGCAUCUGUUUCACUGUAAAUAUAUAUUACAUAUAAUAUAUAGAGAUGAUUCCCCUUGAAAUUCGAAGUAUUUUAUUUUACUUAUUUGAAACCAUUCUAAGAGGAGACUCGUAGCCUUCUUCAGGUUGCUAAAGGGGUCCAUAUACAAAAAUGGUUAGGAGUCCCUGUACUAGGGAAACUUCCCAGCAGAAUGGAGCAAGUCGUGUCCUAAGACACUAUCUACACUACUGAAAUCCUCCAUUUUGGCUAAAUGACAAAGCACUGGCAAAAGAGUCAGAAGGACUGCGUUCUGAUCUCUAACUUAUUGCAUGUCCUUUGGCAAGAAAGACAUUCAAGCUUCUUGCUAUUCAUAAGAACACAGCUACUCAUGCUUACAAUGUGCCAGGUGCUCUGCUAACUACAUUUGGUUGCCACAAUGAUGGUUCAGUCAACAACAGACCACAUGUAUGACAGUGGUCCUGUAAGAUUAUAAUAUCAUAUUUUUACUGUAUUUUUCUAUGUUUAGAUAUGUUUGAAAUACACAAAUACUUACCAUUGUGUUACAAUUGCCUACAGUAGUCAGUAGAGGAACAUGCUGUACAGGUUUGUAGCCUAGGAGCAAUAGGUUACACCAUAUGGCCUAGGUAUGUAGUAAGCUAUACCAUCUAGGUUUGUGUAAGUACACUCUAUGAUGUUCCCUUAAUGAGGAACUCACAUAAUGAUGCGUUUCUCAGAAUGCAUCCCUCUUUGUAAAUAUUACUUCCUGUAGUCAUUACAGCAACCUUCUGUGGUUCUAUUGUAAUAUUUAUUUUGCAGAUAAGAAAAUUAAACCUUAGAACUGUUAAGUAAUCCAUCCACAGUCCUAUCCAGCUAGGAAGCAACAUAAAUGAAAACUUUCUCCAAAGCUAUUAGAUAUCAUAGUCUAGCAAGCUAGGAUAACAAUUCCUGCCCUACUUACCUCGUAGGAUUUUUGUGAUGCUCAAAUGAAUAAUAGAUACAUUAGAUUUAAACAGUACUUCCCACCCUUCAAAACAAGUUAUGAAUAUUUUAAAAUGAUUGUUAUUGAGAUUUUCAAGUAUAGCAAAAUGUUGAGUUUUGGAAAUAACCAGUGAAAAGACAAGAUGCUAUCAAAGAGACUUUUGAAUUACAUUUCAUAUUUAAGUGGCAAUAUAAUUAUUACAAGGAAUAGCUGAUGGACUGUAUAAGGAUCUAUGUUAAUGCUAGAUAAAAAUGGAAUCAAAUUUAUGCUUGUUAGUGUUGUGCUACACGGCUUGAUAAGUUUUUCUCAUAAGUAAAUAAAAUAUGUGCCCUUCAA